CCUACGGGGGGCAGCAGUGAGGAAUAUUGGUCAAUGGGAGAGAUCCUGAACCAGCCAAGCCGCGUGAGGGAAGACGGCCCUAUGGGUUGUAAACCUCUUUUGUCGGAGAACAAAACCCGGGACGAGUCCCGGACUGCGUGUAUCCGAAGAAAAAGCAUCGGCUAACUCCGUGCCAGCAGCCGCGGUAAUACGGAGGAUGCGAGCGUUAUCCGGAUUUAUUGGGUUUAAAGGGUGCGUAGGCGGUCCGUUAAGUCAGCGGUAAAAUUGCGGGGCUCAACCCCGUCGAGCCGUUGAAACUGGCAGACUUGAGUUGGCGAGAAGUACGCGGAAUGCGCGGUGUAGCGGUGAAAUGCAUAGAUAUCGCGCAGAACUCCGAUUGCGAAGGCAGCGUACCGGCGCCAGACUGACGCUGAGGCACGAAAGCGUGGGGAU
This 432-nucleotide ribosomal RNA is filed under the name uncultured bacterium. RNAcentral's name for it is "bacterial SSU rRNA". It matches the Rfam family "Bacterial small subunit ribosomal RNA", at positions 338 to 768 of the family's 1533-position model. The record is from RNAcentral.